UCGAAUCCUUCGUCGUUCCUUCCUGUAACUUUGAGUGAAACGCAAGUUCUUAUGUCUUCUACUAGUCCGCCCGUUUCAGUUGUCACUAUUCGCAGUGAAACACCCGAACUACCAACCCCUGAAACUGGACAAUGAGGAACGGAAAAUGGAGUAUUGACGUCGUCGGAUUCUGCAUCCGCUUCCAUUUUCAAUGAACAAAAGCGGAAGCAGUGUAUCGAAAGUAAAACAAGUACGAAAAAAACGCGCUAUUUCAAAAAAUGUUGCCUCAACGAAACAGACACAGCGGAAGUCAACAAGAACACCAAAAUCAAAAUUGUUCAACUGAGACGGCUUAAAAUUUGUACAAUCAAUUAUUGUACACUGAAAUAAAAAUAAAUUUCACCAAU
Daphnia pulicaria is the source of this 386-nucleotide long non-coding RNA. RefSeq lists it as uncharacterized. The transcript is spliced from 2 exons. Lineage: Eukaryota; Metazoa; Arthropoda; Branchiopoda; Diplostraca; Daphniidae. The record is from RefSeq and is a predicted model, not a curated record.